AAGAGCUGCACGAUGGCAUCUAGCUUAGAGGUUCUUCUGCUCCUUUCUGCAGGUUUAUUGACGGUAAAAGCUGGUUUAGUUGAGGACUGUGAGGGCUACUAUACCAUCAAUAACAAGUACAAGCCUGGGUUUAAAUGCUAUUUGCAGUACUGCUGUGGAAACUGGCGGAAUUCUGGAAUUCCAAAAAUGAAGAAACAGUGAAGCACUUUCCAUUGUCUUAAUAAUACUGGGGGUUAUAUUCAGCAUUAUUAUGCACAUCAUCUGCUGCUUCUGCCCCUGCUGGUUUAUCUAUAAAAUGUACAAAAAACGCAGAGCUGUGGCAGCAACGCAAGUAACUACAGUCACAAAUACAAAUUUAAUUCAGCAGCAGUCUGCAAUGCAGGCGGCCCAGUACCCACAAUACCAACCAGUGCCGACUGAACCAGGUUACGGUGGUCAGCCAAUGCAGAUGGGACCAUACAAUGGACAGCCAUGUGCACCAGGACCCCCACCCUCAUAUCAAGUGGCCCCGGGUCCUGGAUAUCCCACUAGUCAGAGUGCAUAUGACGGAGGCCAGGCUACGUACCCCAUGCAACCACCUUCCCAGUCAUGUGUGGCUAAUGUGCCUUCAGAGACAUCGAGUCAGCCGGCCUGCAACCCUACUUACGUGCAGUCACCAAACACUGGUUACUAAACCACAACCAUCUGUCAAAUAAGUUACUGCUGGAUUGUGGAGGUUGACACACUUUCACGAGGCAGUAAGAAUGUGUCUAAUUCAACUAUUCAAGACUAUUGGAUGUGCUAUAGUCUUUCAGAGUUCUUAGAGUCUUUUUACUUUCACUUUCUUUCAGUUUCGUUUUUGCUCUGUGACACACAGGAACAAUACUUUUGGGAAUUGUAAAUAAAACAAAGAUUGCUACAGUAAGUUUUAGAAUAAAAUACCAUUUCAGUCUUUCUGCUUUCAACAAGCAGUGAGUGAAAAUUGUUUCAAUACAAUAUUUUUUUAAAUGCAGUUUUAGUUUUAUUGUUUUCUAUUUUUAGUAUUAUUCUAGUAUUGUUAUUUUUUAACUGUACUGACACGCAACAAAAAAAUGAAUAUAGUUUUGGUAUACGUAAAUUUGUUACUGAGUUUUUGAUAUUUCAUACAACAGCGUAAUACUCACAGAAAUAUAAAUGUAUUCGUUUUUACUUUUUAAAUAGCAGGAACAGUGAUUCCAUUUAUAGAAUGUGUCAAAUUUUCCAUUUUGGCUUUUGAAAAACAAUGAGCAUCACAAAAUUUUCACAGUUACGUCGUGACUCCCACUGACUUUCUGUACCAACUUUUAAGCACAGAAUGGCUUUUAAGGUAGUAAAAAGGGUUACAUUUUUGAUAAAGCAAACUUUGUUAAGCAUUAGGAAACCACUGCCUUUGCAGAUCCUUUUCAGAUUGUAUUAUAUUGUUUCAGGUGACAUGAUGCAGCCUGUUUGUUAAUUGUCUUUACAUAUUGUAACUUGUGUUUUAUUUUUUUAUGUGUGUAACAAGAGAAAAAGGGGAGCUAAAAAGGGCUUAUAGGAGAACACCAAAGAUGUGAAACUCAAAGAGUUUGGACUUUUAUGCAAUGUUUGGUGAACUUGCAGAACUUGAAUGUAUAUGGGGCCCCCUAUGGUGAAA
Molecule: RNA transcript, 1630 nt
Organism: Labeo rohita (rohu)
Lineage: Eukaryota; Metazoa; Chordata; Actinopteri; Cypriniformes; Cyprinidae
Gene name: protein shisa-5
Exons: 5
Source: RefSeq, a predicted model, not a curated record